GUAAUUUGCAGAGGAUGCUUUUGGCGCNNUGCCUUCCGAGUUCCCUGGAACGGGACGCCAUAGAGGGUGAGAGCCCCGUCUGGUCGGACGCCUAGCCUGUGUAAAGCUCCUUCGACGAGUCGAGUAGUUUGGGAAUGCUGCUCUAAAUGGGAGGUAUAUGUCUUCUAAAGCUAAAUACCGGCCAGAGACCGAUAGCGCACAAGUAGAGUGAUCGAAAGAUGAAAAGCACUUUGAAAAGAGGGUUAAAUAGUACGUGAAAUUGUUGAAAGGGAAGCGCUUGUGACCAGACUUGGGCCCGGUGGAUCAUCCAGCGUUCUCGCUGGUGCACUCCGCCGGGUUCAGGCCAGCAUCAGUUCGCCGCGGGGGAAAAAGGCUUCGGGAACGUGGCUCCUACGGGAGUGUUAUAGCCCGUUGCAUAAUACCCUGGGGCGGACUGAGGUUCGCGCUCCGCAAGGAUGCUGGCGUAAUGGUCAUCAGCGACCCGUC
RNAcentral lists this ribosomal RNA (486 nucleotides) under soil fungal sp. DM015. RNAcentral's name for it is "eukaryotic LSU rRNA". It matches the Rfam family "Eukaryotic large subunit ribosomal RNA", at positions 145 to 653 of the family's 3401-position model. Lineage: Eukaryota; Fungi. The record is from RNAcentral.